RNAcentral lists this ribosomal RNA (561 nucleotides) under uncultured Glomeromycotina. Its description in RNAcentral is "SSU rRNA". It matches the Rfam family "Eukaryotic small subunit ribosomal RNA", at positions 548 to 1114 of the family's 1831-position model. Lineage: Eukaryota; Fungi; Glomeromycota. The record is from RNAcentral.
UUGGAGGGCAAGUCUGGUGCCAGCAGCCGCGGUAAUUCCAGCUCCAAUAGCGUAUAUUAAAGUUGUUGUAGUUAAAAAGCUCGUAGUUGAAUUUCGAGAUUCUACUGUCAGUCAGGCUACCAAGUCUGUACUGGUGUGUAGAAUUUCUACCUUCUGGGGAACUAUCAUGUUAUUAAUUUAGCGUGGUGGGAAACCAGGACCUUUACCUUGAAAAAUUAGGGUAUUUAAAGCAGGCUUAUAUCUGAAUACAUUAGCAUAGAAUAAUAGAAUAGAAUGGUGGUCCUGUUUGUUGGUUUCUGAAUUACCGUAAUGAUUAAUAGAGAUAGUUGGAGGCAUUAGUAUUCAAUUGUCAGAGGUGAAAUUCUUGGAUUUAUUGAAGACUAACUUCUGUGAAAGCAUUUGCCAAGGAUGUUUUAUUUAAUCAAGAACGAAAGUUAGGGGAUCGAAGACGAUCAGAUACCAUCGUAGUCUUAACUAUAAACUAUGCCAACUAGGGAUCAGACGAUGUUAAAUUUUAUUGACUCAUUCGGCGCCUUACGGGAAACCAAAGUGUUUGGGUUC